This 508-nucleotide ribosomal RNA is filed under the name uncultured bacterium. RNAcentral describes it as "partial 16S ribosomal RNA". It matches the Rfam family "Bacterial small subunit ribosomal RNA", at positions 28 to 507 of the family's 1533-position model. The record is from RNAcentral.
GACGAACGCUGGCGGCGUGCCUAAUACAUGCAAGUCGAACGCUUCUUUCCUCCCGAGUGCUUGCACUCAAUUGGAAAGAGGAGUGGCGGACGGGUGAGUAACACGUGGGUAACCUACCCAUCAGAGGGGGAUAACACUUGGAAACAGGUGCUAAUACCGCAUAACAGUUUAUGCCGCAUGGCAUAAGAGUGAAAGGCGCUUUCGGGUGUCGCUGAUGGAUGGACCCGCGGUGCAUUAGCUAGUUGGUGAGGUAACGGCUCACCAAGGCCACGAUGCAUAGACGACCUGAGAGGGUGAUCGGCCACACUGGGACUGAGACACGGCCCAGACUCCUACGGGAGGCAGCAGUAGGGAAUCUUCGGCAAUGGACGAAAGUCUGACCGAGCAACGCCGCGUGAGUGAAGAAGGUUUUCGGAUCGUAAAACUCUGUUGUUAGAGAAGAACAAGGACGUUAGUAACUGAACGUCCCCUGACGGUAUCUAACCAGAAAGCCACGGCUAACUACGUG